Molecule: non-coding RNA, 235 nt
Organism: Pelobates cultripes (western spadefoot toad)
Lineage: Eukaryota; Metazoa; Chordata; Amphibia; Anura; Pelobatidae
Source: the annotation of a GenBank genome assembly
CCUACCUUUGAGUCAUCUGAACUUACUCCAAAAUCCAUUGGUUUAUGUGUUGAGGUUAGUAGGGUAUCAAAUAUUCUAUACUCUGUGCGUGGGCUUUUAUGCACAAGAUGCAUUACCUUGUAUUUAUCCACAUUAAAUGUCAGUUGCCACAGCUCUGACCAGUUUUCUUGUUUACCUGAAUCAUCUUUCAUUUGGCUUAUCCUUUCUGGAACAUCAACCCUGUUGCAAAUGUUAG